UGGCGACCGGCGCACGGGUGAGUAACGCGUAUCCAACCUGCCCUUUACUAUGGGACAGCCCGUCGAAAGGCGGAUUAAUACCGUACGUUGUCAUGUUGAUGCAUAUUUUCAUGACCAAAGGCUUCGGCCGGUAAAGGAUGGGGAUGCGUCUGAUUAGCUUGCCGGCGGGGUAACGGCCCACCGGGGCGACGAUCAGUAGGGGUUCUGAGAGGAAGGUCCCCCACAUUGGAACUGAGACACGGUCCAAACUCCUACGGAAGGCAGCAG
This 267-nucleotide ribosomal RNA is filed under the name uncultured bacterium. Its description in RNAcentral is "partial 16S ribosomal RNA". It matches the Rfam family "Bacterial small subunit ribosomal RNA", at positions 89 to 354 of the family's 1533-position model. The record is from RNAcentral.